AACGAACGCUGGCGGCAGGCCUAACACAUGCAAGUCGAGCGGACCUUUCGGGGUCAGCGGCGGACGGGUGAGUAACGCGUGGGAAUAUGCCCUUCUCUACGGAAUAGUCCUGGGAAACUGGGGGUAAUACCGUAUACGCCCUUUGGGGGAAAGAUUUAUCGGGGAAGGAUUAGCCCGCGUUGGAUUAGGUAGUUGGUGUGGUAAUGGCCUACCAAGCCGACGAUCCAUAGCUGGGUUGAGAGGAUGAUCAGCCACACUGAGACUGAGACACGGCCCAGACUCCUACGGGAGGCAGCAGUGGGGAAUGUUAGACAAUGGCGGGAACCCUGAUCGAGCCAUGCCGCGUGAGUGAUGAAGGCCUUAGGGUUGUAAAGCUCUUUCAGCUAGGAAGAUAAUGACGGUACCAGCAGAAGAAGCCACGGCUAACUCCGUG
RNAcentral lists this ribosomal RNA (433 nucleotides) under uncultured bacterium. RNAcentral describes it as "partial 16S ribosomal RNA". It matches the Rfam family "Bacterial small subunit ribosomal RNA", at positions 29 to 507 of the family's 1533-position model. The record is from RNAcentral.